CUUAUUACACUUCAAUACUCUUCAUUCUUUAUCUCGUCUCUCUUCACCCAAGGUAUAAACUUAUCUGAUAUCAAACUGUGUAAUCUUCCGGGAGGCUAUUACAGAUCCUAUUUUCAAUCAACCACUCUGAUACUUCUAGGGCUUUACAAAAGCACUUGGAAUCGUGGAGCUUCUCGAAAAUACCUCUCACCAAAGAAGGGUGCUUGCUGGUGUAUGAUCCACAACCACUUCGAGCCUAAACAGUACAGUUCUUCGGAGACGAUAAGGUUCCGGUUCUGUAGUAGGAGCAGAAGAAUCGAGGUCUGCUAUUGUAAACGCGAAUUCACUUUGCGUGUUGCUGA
Arabidopsis thaliana (thale cress) is the source of this 341-nucleotide long non-coding RNA. RefSeq annotates it as other RNA. The transcript has 2 exons. The record is from RefSeq. Lineage: Eukaryota; Viridiplantae; Streptophyta; Magnoliopsida; Brassicales; Brassicaceae.